RNAcentral lists this ribosomal RNA (553 nucleotides) under Salmonella enterica subsp. enterica serovar Anatum. Its description in RNAcentral is "partial 23S ribosomal RNA". It matches the Rfam family "Bacterial large subunit ribosomal RNA", at positions 1112 to 1665 of the family's 2925-position model. The record is from RNAcentral. Lineage: Bacteria; Pseudomonadati; Pseudomonadota; Gammaproteobacteria; Enterobacterales; Enterobacteriaceae.
GCAGCCAUCAUUUAAAGAAAGCGUAAUAGCUCACUGGUCGAGUCGGCCUGCGCGGAAGAUGUAACGGGGCUAAACCAUGCACCGAAGCUGCGGCAGCGACACUGUGUGUUGUUGGGUAGGGGAGCGUUCUGUAAGCCUGUGAAGGUGUGUCGUGAGGCAUGCUGGAGGUAUCAGAAGUGCGAAUGCUGACAUAAGUAACGAUAAAGCGGGUGAAAAGCCCGCUCGCCGGAAGACCAAGGGUUCCUGUCCAACGUUAAUCGGGGCAGGGUGAGUCGACCCCUAAGGCGAGGCCGAAAGGCGUAGUCGAUGGGAAACGGGUUAAUAUUCCCGUACUUGGUGUUACUGCGAAGGGGGGACGGAGAAGGCUAUGUUGGCCGGGCGACGGUUGUCCCGGUUUAAGCGUGUAGGUGUGUGUUCCAGGUAAAUCCGGUUCACUUUAACACUGAGGCGUGACGACGAGGCACUACGGUGCUGAAGCAACAAAUGCCCUGCUUCCAGGAAAAGCCUCUAAGCAUCAGGUAACACGAAAUCGUACCCCAAACCGACACAGGUG